RNAcentral lists this ribosomal RNA (869 nucleotides) under uncultured archaeon. Its description in RNAcentral is "bacterial SSU rRNA". It matches the Rfam family "Archaeal small subunit ribosomal RNA", at positions 1 to 878 of the family's 1478-position model. The record is from RNAcentral.
CUCCGGGUGAUCCUGCCGGACCUGACUGCUAUCGGAUUGGUACUAAGCCAUGCGAGUCGUUGUAGCAAUACAAGGCGGACGGCUCAGUAACACGUAGUCAACCUAACCUAUGGACGUGGAUAACCUCGGGAAACUGAGAAUAAACCGCGAUAGAUCAUUAUGCCUGGAAUGGCUUAUGGUUCAAACAAUUUAUUGCCGUAGGAUGGGACUGCGGCCUAUCAGCUUGUUGGUGAGGUAAUGGCCCACCAAGGCUAUAACAGGUACGGGCUCUGAGAGGAGGAGCCCGGAGAUGGGCACUGAGACAAGGGCCCAGGCCCUAUGGGGCGCAGCAGGCGCGAAACCUCUGCAAUAGGCGAAAGCUUGACAGGGUUACUCUGAGUGAUUUCCGCUAAGGGAAUCUUUUGGCACCUCUAAAAAUGGUGCAGAAUAAGGGGUGGGCAAGUCUGGUGUCAGCCGCCGCGGUAAUACCAGCACCCCGAGUGGUCGGGACGAUUAUUGGGCCUAAAGCAUCCGUAGCCGGUCCUGCAAGUCUUCCGUUAAAUCCAGCUGCUCAACAGAUGGGCUGCGGGAGAUACUACAGGGCUAGGAGGCGGGAGAGGCAAGCGGUACUUUAUGGGUAGGGGUAAAAUCCGCUGAUCCAUAGAAGACCACCAGUGGCGAAGGCGGCUUGCCAGAACGCGCUCGACGGUGAGGGAUGAAAGCUGGGGGAGCAAACCGGAUUAGAUACCCGGGUAGUCCCAGCUGUAAACGAUGCAGACUCGGUGAUGGGUUGGCCUCGCGCCUGCCCAGUGCCGCAGGGAAGCCGUUAAGUCUGCCGCCUGGGGAGUACGGUCGCAAGACUGAAACUUAAAGGAAUUGGCGGGGGAGCA